RNAcentral lists this long non-coding RNA (285 nucleotides) under Manihot esculenta (cassava). RNAcentral's name for it is "long non-coding RNA (MESC_LNC002439)". Lineage: Eukaryota; Viridiplantae; Streptophyta; Magnoliopsida; Malpighiales; Euphorbiaceae. The record is from RNAcentral.
GUUCGGUUACCCAAGUGUGAUGCACGGUACAUUCGAACAAGCUCAGAUAUUGUAUGCCGGCCGUGCACCACACAUGAAAAACAUAAGUCUUCGAGGCUAUGGCCCCGAAGAGAUCGCGAAGUACACAUUCGAAGAAAUCGCUGGAGACCUGGCUGAGUGCAGCAGAUCCCAGUCUCACGUAAUACUGGUACUUCACACCAAAGGGAAUAAUAAUACUGGUACUUCACAUCAAAAAGAACAACAAGCUGAGCGCCGGCGCCACUCCCAUUUAUAUCAAAAGAGGAC